This is a non-coding RNA of Schistosoma rodhaini, 45 nucleotides long. Lineage: Eukaryota; Metazoa; Platyhelminthes; Trematoda; Strigeidida; Schistosomatidae. The record is from Rfam.
AUCCAGUUGACGAAUCCCAAAUAGGACGAAACGCGUCUGUUGGAU